CCUACGGGUGGCAGCAGUGGGGAAUAUUGGACAAUGGGAGCAACCCUGAUCCAGCCAUGCCGCGUGUGUGAAGAAGGCCCUCGGGUUGUAAAGCACUUUCAGUGAGGAAGAACGCCUGGUGGUUAAUACCCAUCAGGAAAGACAUCACUCACAGAAGAAGCACCGGCUAACUCCGUGCCAGCAGCCGCGGUAAUACGGAGGGUGCGAGCGUUAAUCGGAAUUACUGGGCGUAAAGCGCGCGUAGGUGGCUUGAUAAGCCGGUUGUGAAAGCCCCGGGCUCAACCUGGGAACGGCAUCCGGAACUGUCAAGCUAGAGUGCAGGAGAGGAAGGUAGAAUUCCCGGUGUAGCGGUGAAAUGCGUAGAGAUCGGGAGGAAUACCAGUGGCGAAGGCGGCCUUCUGGACUGACACUGACACUGAGGUGCGAAAGCGUGGGUAGCAAACAGGAUUAGAUACCCCGGUAGUC
This 465-nucleotide ribosomal RNA is filed under the name Vreelandella stevensii. RNAcentral's name for it is "partial 16S ribosomal RNA". It matches the Rfam family "Bacterial small subunit ribosomal RNA", at positions 338 to 795 of the family's 1533-position model. Lineage: Bacteria; Pseudomonadati; Pseudomonadota; Gammaproteobacteria; Oceanospirillales; Halomonadaceae. The record is from RNAcentral.